UACGUAGGGUGCAAGCGUUAUCCGGAAUUAUUGGGCGUAAAGAGCUCGUAGGCGGUUUGUCGCGUCUGCUGUGAAAACUGGAGGCUCAACCUCCAGCCUGCAGUGGGUACGGGCAGACUAGAGUGCGGGUAGGGGAGAUUGGAAUUCCUGGUGUAGCGGUGGAAUGCGCAGAUAGUCAGGAGGAGCACCGAUGGCGAAGGCAGAUCUCUGGGCCGUAACUGACGCUGAGGCGCGAAAGCCAGGGGAGCAAACGGG
Molecule: ribosomal RNA, 255 nt
Filed under: uncultured bacterium
Lineage: Bacteria
Description: partial 16S ribosomal RNA
Rfam family: Bacterial small subunit ribosomal RNA
Source: RNAcentral